This 1192-nucleotide ribosomal RNA is filed under the name Lactiplantibacillus plantarum. RNAcentral's name for it is "bacterial SSU rRNA". It matches the Rfam family "Bacterial small subunit ribosomal RNA", at positions 41 to 1191 of the family's 1533-position model. Lineage: Bacteria; Bacillati; Bacillota; Bacilli; Lactobacillales; Lactobacillaceae. The record is from RNAcentral.
GGCGUUCCCUGCUAUAAUGCAGUCGACGAACUCUGGUAUUGAUUGGUGCUCGCAUCAUGAUUUACAUUUGAGUGAGUGGCGAACUGGUGAGUAACACGUGGGAAACCUGCCCAGAAGCGGGGGAUAACACCUGGAAACAGAUGCUAAUACCGCAUAACAACUUGGACCGCAUGGUCCGAGUUUGAAAGAUGGCUUCGGCUAUCACUUUUGGAUGGUCCCGCGGCGUAUUAGCUAGAUGGUGGGGUAACGGCUCACCAUGGCAAUGAUACGUAGCCGACCUGAGAGGGUAAUCGGCCACAUUGGGACUGAGACACGGCCCAAACUCCUACGGGAGGCAGCAGUAGGGAAUCUUCCACAAUGGACGAAAGUCUGAUGGAGCAACGCCGCGUGAGUGAAGAAGGGUUUCGGCUCGUAAAACUCUGUUGUUAAAGAAGAACAUAUCUGAGAGUAACUGUUCAGGUAUUGACGGUAUUUAACCAGAAAGCCACGGCUAACUACGUGCCAGCAGCCGCGGUAAUACGUAGGUGGCAAGCGUUGUCCGGAUUUAUUGGGCGUAAAGCGAGCGCAGGCGGUUUUUUAAGUCUGAUGUGAAAGCCUUCGGCUCAACCGAAGAAGUGCAUCGGAAACUGGGAAACUUGAGUGCAGAAGAGGACAGUGGAACUCCAUGUGUAGCGGUGAAAUGCGUAGAUAUAUGGAAGAACACCAGUGGCGAAGGCGGCUGUCUGGUCUGUAACUGACGCUGAGGCUCGAAAGUAUGGGUAGCAAACAGGAUUAGAUACCCUGGUAGUCCAUACCGUAAACGAUGAAUGCUAAGUGUUGGAGGGUUUCCGCCCUUCAGUGCUGCAGCUAACGCAUUAAGCAUUCCGCCUGGGGAGUACGGCCGCAAGGCUGAAACUCAAAGGAAUUGACGGGGGGACCGCACAAGCGGUGGAGCAUGUGGUUUUAAUUCGAAGCUACGCGAAGAAACCGUUACCUAGGUCUUGACAUACGAUGCAAAUCUAAGAGAUUAGACGUUUCCGCUGUCGGGGACAUGGAUACAGGGUGAGCAUGGAUUGUCGGUCAGCUCGUGUCGUGAGAUGUUGGGUUAAGUCGCGCUACGAGCGCAACGGUUAUAUCAGCGGCCUAGCAUUAGUGGCACUCUGAUGAGACUGACUGGAACUAACGGAGGAAUGGUGGGGGAAUUGAACGGUUC